AGGCGGAUAGCUCAGGGGUAGAGCACCGUGUUUACACCGCGGUGGUCGCAGGUUCAAAUCCUGUUCCGCCUACCC
RNAcentral lists this transfer RNA (75 nucleotides) under Myxococcales bacterium FL481. Its description in RNAcentral is "tRNA-Val". It matches the Rfam family "tRNA". From Rfam's summary of the family: Transfer RNA (tRNA) molecules are approximately 80 nucleotides in length. Lineage: Bacteria; Pseudomonadati; Myxococcota; Myxococcia; Myxococcales. The record is from RNAcentral.